RNAcentral lists this long non-coding RNA (515 nucleotides) under Sorghum bicolor (sorghum). RNAcentral describes it as "long non-coding RNA (SBIC_LNC001341)". The record is from RNAcentral. Lineage: Eukaryota; Viridiplantae; Streptophyta; Magnoliopsida; Poales; Poaceae.
CUCGGUCUCUCUCCCCUCUCCCCAUCCUUACCGCCGCCGCCACCUCUCCCCUCCAUGCCCUCUCCUCCGCACGCCGCCUCCAUGGCUCUCCCCUCCCUGCCCUCUCCUCCCCGAGUUGCCUCCAAGCUGGCAUGAGCAUACCUCCUUUGCGUGACGACUUGACGAGCAGCGGUCCCCGUCCUUACCGCCGCCGCCACCUCUCCCCUCCAUGCCCUCUCCUCCGCACGCCGCCUCCAUGGCUCUCCCCUCCCUGCCCUCUCCUCCCCGAGUUGCCUCCAAGCCGGCAUGAGCAGACCUCCUUUGCGUGACGACUUGACGAGCAGCGGGGGAAAAUCGGAGAGGAGGAGGUGUCCACGGAUACCGCGUGCGGAGGACCGGAGGAUGCUUCCUUACUCCCGAAGAUCCCCAUGCUCUCCGGAUCUGAGCUCACAUCAAACAGAUCCAGCCUCGACGACCAUCGAUCUGGCUGGCCUGUAGAAGCCCGUGGUGUGCGCGCAGCAAGCUCCACGAAGCAA